GGGGGGGGGGGGGGGGGGGGGGGGGGGGGGGGGGGGGGGGGGGAGGGGGGGGCGGGGGGGGGGUGGGCGGGGGGCGCACGGGGGCGGAACGCGGGAGUAACCUGCGCCUGCCUUUGGGAUACCUUGAGGGGACUUGGGCUAAUAACGGCUGUGGGCGACGGCUCCCAGGGGUGGGUUGGACAGUUUCGGGGGUUGGGGAUGGACUGUAGGCCUAUUAGCUUGUUGGUGGGGUAGUGGCUUACCAAGGCGUUGACGGGUAGCCGGCCUGAGAGGGUGACCGGCCACAUUGGGACUGAGAUACGGCCCAGACUCCUACGGGAGGCAGCAGUGGGGAAUAUUGCACCAUGGGCGGAAGCCUGAUGCAGCAACGCCGCGUGCGGGAUGACGGCCUUCGGGUUGUAAACCGCUUUCGCCUGUGACGAAGCGUGAGUGACGGUAAUGGGUAAAGAAGCACCGGCUAACUACGUG
Molecule: ribosomal RNA, 468 nt
Filed under: uncultured bacterium
Lineage: Bacteria
Description: partial 16S ribosomal RNA
Rfam family: Bacterial small subunit ribosomal RNA (bases 52-468)
Source: RNAcentral